AAUCGCGCCGGCGUGCUUCCAGCUUGCUGUCCCGCAGGCUGCCUUUAGGGGCAGGCUGGAGGCCCGCGCCACCCCCUCCCGAUCGUCUUAGCCUCUGCUGUGGGCCGGGACGUUUUUCCUUAGCACCUUGGCCGCAGGUCUCAGGUCCUAGGCGGGUGGGGCGGGGUGGGCUGCGUUUCCCUUUGCUCGGUGCCAAGGGUACCCUGCAUCCCGCGCCUCUGGCUUCUGCACAUUUCCAAACCUUCUUGCUGCGCUUAGCAUUCCCUCCUACCCCCUUCCCGCCUUCCCUUUGUGUUCCUAGACACAAAGUUUCAUUUAGGGUCCGAGUUUGCAGGAGGUCGUCAGGAGGCAUCGUGUCUGCAGUCUGAGCUGAGGAGUUGAGGCAGCACGACUGACCUGCCACCUUGCCUUUGUUGCAAGGGGGAGGAGCCCUGAGCUUUGAAACUGGACAAGCUCUCAGGAGGUCCCUUUGACGGUUAGGUUUGCACACUGAGUCUUGGGCCUGGGUGGUGGUAGGGCCCCCUGGCCCCUCUUCCUAAGGUGGCUUUUACUCCCGCCCUUUACUGGUAAAAUUCCCAGUAGGACAGUUGGCAGACGAGCUGGGCAGGGAGCUGCCAACCAGACCUGGCCCUGUUUCCUGGGUUCCUAGGGUGCUGACUUCUCCCCUACCUCCACUUCCUCUCCCACCUUAGAGCCCCAAGUGAUGGCACCAUCUCUCCUGUCCCGUCUUCCUCAGGCGGGUUGGGACUCGCAGAGCGAUCUAACAAGCAGAGGAGGAAAAUAACAACAGAAUAACUGUAAAGGGAAGGAAUGAGUAAUAAAGCCAACCCAGGCAGGGAGGAGGGCUUUCAUGUUUAAGAGAUGCUAUUUGCUUUUUAGGUCAUAGGCUGCAAAAACAGGCUUUGAUCCGAAGUGGGCGAAUAAUUUAUUGAGAAAGUUUGCGUGGUAGGGAAGAAAAGGGAUGUUUGUUUGAUCUGGAGGCCUCUCGGUUGUCCCAAGUGCUGUUGGCUGUUGUUUCGAGUGGAAAAGCAUUUGGUUCCACAGCAAAUGCCUCCCGGAGGGAAGUCCUUGCCCCAGGCAGCCAGAGCAGUGAAUGUUGGUUUUGAAACUGUUUAGCCAAGGGUCUCCCCAGCACUUUUGGAGCUGAAGUGUUUAAGAGUCGAGUUGUUUGGGCUCAGGAUGCAGCAAAUAUUUCCAGAACAUUUCCCAUCUAACAUGCUUUUCCUUUCCCUAAAUUGCCUGGCUAAACAGCCAAUAGCCCUGAUCCAAGAGGCUGUCGGAAGUCUCCACUUAGCUUUCAUUGACAGCUGAGGUGGCACUGCUGACCCCCAACCCCCAGGUCCUCUCAGAAUCUUGAGGUCAGGCUUUCAACCCUGGUUUCCACGUUCUUGAGGUUGAGCGCAGGGUAUUCUGGUGAAUCGCUGUGCCCGUUAACGCCGAGGUACUUGUCUUUACAGCCAAGAACCAAGUCAGAGGCUUCCAGUCCAAAUUCUUCCCAGCUUAUCCAGCAGGCAGGCUCUUUGUGGGCCUCACAGUUCUCCCUUUGGGUUCUCUGCCGGAAGGCCAGGGCAGAGUUGGGGGGCAGGGGGCUGCCUGGCUUGUCCUGUCCUCCACACGGGAACGUCACUGCGUAGCUCAGCGUUCAGGAACCCAAGAGGGUUCUCAGACAAUCCACAGGAAUCCGGAGUAGCCCAGCCAGAUUCUGGUUUCGUAGGCCUGUGCACUGCACACUCUGGCCCCUGCGGGGGUGGGGUGGAGGCGGGGAGGGGGGGCCCACAACGUUAUUUGGGGUCAGGCAGUCUAGCUUUGAAUGCUGGCUUUGCAGUCACCAGCUGCGGCAGUUGCUCCAUGCCUCAAUUUCUCUAUCUGCACUUGGGCCUAAUAACAGUACCUCUCUCGUGGUGGGUGUCUGGAUUAAGUGCUACGUUGCAAGAAGAAGACUAAACCCGAAGCCAGGCCUGUGGUAAGCACUUGGCUUGGCUAGGCCAGAGAGCCAGCUCCCUUCUCUAAAGAAGGGAUCAGAGGACCCUGCACUUGCCAAUGGGCAGCCAUCCGUGGGAGCGAGCGGACUGAACUUUGCCCUCUCUGAGGUGGAAAGUAGGGUGAGACGGUGCCAAAGGACAAAGUAGACAAAGCCCAUUUCUGUCUCCCAGGAUCCCCUUGGUAUGUCCCCAGAACUGGGAGCAGAGGGUGGGUGUGGGCAUAGUGUUCGAGGGAUCUGGGUGCCCCUUGGGACACUUGCAGUGGGCAGUGAUGGGUGUUGGAGGAGGGCUCAGGCUCCCCUGUGCGUGCGGAAGCAAAUCUGAGCAUCUGUGUGUCACGAACUCAUUUUUGCCACGGCAGCUAGUGUCCCUGAGAAGGCGUUAAAGUUAACAAGAGAUAGGAAAGAGUGGGGCUCUGACCCCCGUUUUUUAUACAGCUUUAAGAGUGUGCCACUCUUGUUUUCUGAACGUCUGGCCUUCCCGACUCAAGCAGGCUCUGAGGACGGGUUUUCCAGCCGAAAUAUCAUUAAAUUGUAUUAGCAUCUUAUUACACACACGCCUUAGCGGUCUGCCUCAGACAGGGAGAGUUUUUGUUUCUCUUUGAAAGAUUGUGUCUGGAAUGGUAAAUUGCCUGCUUGAAAGCCUCCCCCUGCUCCCCCCUUCUAAGGAGGAGGACGAAAUCCUGCUGUGUGUGGUGGCAGGCGGGUAGGCCUGGUGGCCCCCAGAGAGGAGAGGCCGGAGGCCAGGUUGGGGUGUUUUAACUGCCCAGGGAGCUGCUGCAGUCGCAGGCCUGAAAGGCCCACUGUUUCCAGGGUCAGCUGGAAGGGCGUUCAUGGAGGCCCAGGGUGUUUAUUUGAGUUUAUUUGCGGAGAGGUCUUUAAAGGGGGCUGGCAUUGGGCAUGGGUAUUGCAAGUCCAGACCCGAGGCCCCCACUCAGACCAGUGGCCAGUGCUGCCAAGAAAACAUCUGCCACCAAAUUGCUGCCCUAUUACUGAGUUGACAUUGAUCAUUAGCCAGGAGCCCAACCAAAUAAAGCCUCCUGGAAAAUGUGUGAGGUUAAGAUGGGGAAGGCAGGCUGUGCAAACAGGACAAAAUGUUGAGCCGGGGUGUUUGCUCCCGCAAGCGGCGAGCAGGCCGGCUGGGCUCUGUUGCCCCACACUUCCAGAGGGUGGGGACAGGAGCACACCCAGCACGCCAUGUGUACCAAGCCCCUUUUAUACGCUGGGUGCAACUCCAGGGGGCACUGGGGCGCCAGCAGGGAUCCAAAUGGUUGUGCUUUUUACUGUGGCGGAAUGUACAUUCCCAAGGAGGACAUUCAACAAGUAGAUCAACAAACACAGAUUGUGACGGUUGUUCUGAAGAAGCUGAGUAACAGGGCGGUGGGCUUUCCGUAAAUAAAGCAGCUGGCAUCAACCUCUGUGCCAUCUGAGCUGAAACUUGAAGAAUGGAGAGUCAGACGGGCCUAGACUGCAUGGAAUAUGACAGGCAGAGCGCACACCUGAGCACAGGUCUUGAACCCAUGGACUCUUGGAUUGUUAGAGGGAGGCCAGUUUCGCUGGGAAAGGGAGUGGUGGUCAGUACGCGGGAGCCAGGGGCCGGGUCAUGUGGGGUCUUAUGGUCAGAAGCUGGAGUGUUGUCUUUUGAUCAGCAGGAAGCCUUUGAAGGAUUUUAAAUAGGGCAUGACAUGAUCUGAUUCAUGCUUUUUGAAGAUCAUUCAGGCUGCUGUCUGCCUUUGUGGGGUAGGAUUUCAGGAGCACUUUUCUGUCCCUCUAAGCAGGCACCUUGUGACCCUGAGGGCUUCUCCCGUAGCAGACCUUUGCUUUGGGACAGAUUGGAGGAGCCGGGGGAGGGAAACCAGAGGUGGGGACCGAAUCUCGGCACUCCCUCUCCCAGCUGCAUGUGCAGCCCGGGAUGUGCAGCUUUGGGAAAAGAAUCCUCCCCGACCCCUCUGCUGGGUUGGAGACGGGGUCCAAGGGGCAAAGGGCUGUCCCACAGGGGAGCUCAGACCUCCUGAGGGGCUUCUUAGCCACUGGCAGUAGAGGCUCACCUGAGGCAGGGAGGCCUUUGGAACAGACUUGUUUCAAAGGAAAGCAGCAAAGCGGUGGCUUCCCUCUGAAACCUAGUUAUUAUUCCAAUUAAGCCACCACAAAAUCUGUUCCUUUAAUAACACCCUGCCCGGGAGGACUCUGGGGUGUUUCACGGAGGGCAGGUUGGACAGGGAGCUGGCUGGGGGGCGGGUGCAGGUCUGCACGCCGACAGGUUACUGGUCCUGGGCAGCAGGAACCCGCGUGACGAGCAGGGCAUUGGCAGGCAAGGUGUCCCGCUGUGGGGCACCUUCCUCACCAUAGAGGCCCGCUGCCUCACUGAGGAGCCCACCCUCAGGUGGGCCCUGGUCGGAGGACUGCCCGCCCGGCCUGAGUCGGCCGUGGUGUUAAUAACCAGCACCCAUACGGGGUGCCAACCGCUGUGCUAAGGGUUUUAUGCGGCUCUCACUUACUCACCAGCUGAUUCUGGCCCACGAAUGUGUUUAGUUUGGCCCUGUCGAAGUGUUUGAAAAAUCCUGAAUCAGUUGCCAACAUUUUAAGUUCAGGAGAUGUAUGUAAAAAUCCAGAUCCAGUUUGUGUCCUUUGGGAGGUAUGUCUGGUGCGGAGUGAAGGUGGGAUUGAACUUGACCUCCCUGAAUCCAGAGCUGCUGCUUUUAAGCCAUGGGAGAGCCUGGCUUGGAAGCGCCCUGUUUGCUGGAAGUGGAGAGGCAAGCAGUUCAGGGAGAGGAUUGCAGGGGAAACAGGGAGAGCAUUGCAGGGGAAACAGGGAGAGCAUUGCAGGGGAAACAGGGAGAGCAUUGCAGGGGAAACAGGGAGAGCAUUGCAGGGGAAACAGGUGCGUGCAUUUCGAGCACCUCUUCCUCCACUCCUGCCCCGCCUGUGACAGGGCUGUGUUGGCCACAUGUAGGCAAGGGUCAGAGUUGUGUUAAAGUCACCUCUGUCCCCUCAAGCCCCGGAGGACAGCAAAGAUGGGCACCUGUGGGUGGCAGAACAUUAUUGCCCCAUGCAGUCCGUGACCUGAGCCGCCGGCUGCAGCACGGAGGCAGAGGAGUCGAAAGGUCAGGAGCCCGGUCUCCUAAGGCGGACUUCUCCCGAGCACUAUUUUCCUGGCUCAGUCACUUUACUUCUGAAUUUCAUUUUCUUCUCCUGCGAGAGAGAAGCAGCCAUCAUGCCUGGCAGCACCAAAAGGCUGUUCUGAGGUCUCGGUGAGGGGAGGUCUCUUCGUAUCAGCACGCCCUUCUCCCCAAGCCGUGGGCGUGUAGCAAUUUGAGCCCUCUUUGCUGCCUCCCCGACGGCCGAGGUGCUCCGCGCCCAGUAUCCCUCUACCUCCACACCCUCCACGGAGCCCAUGGCCUGCAUCCUUGGAGCUGGGCAGUGAGCAGCCCCAACGAGCCUUCCUGUCCUCCUGAGCCUGCUGUUGGGGGACCCGGGCGGAGAGAAGCUCCUGGUUAAGGUCAAGUUCGAGGCAGGAGGGUCUUUCUAGGUAGCUCAGCGUUCUGAGUGGUCAUACCCCACCUUAGAGAGCCAGUGCUCGCCGGUUUCUGCAAGGCCACAGUAAAAUAAGGUGAAUCCCAGGGCUUGGCAGAAGCAGACUUGGGGUGACAGCAGGUGGCAAAUGAGAUUCUGAGGUGGGGAGGAGCCCGGCUGGCCCGCCACUGGGAUGAGCCCUGCGGCCUUCUCCCCACUGCCACGGGCUCCGUGUCCUUCGCUGUGGACAGUGAGGCAACCCCGUUCCAGACAGGAUCAUGGAGGAAAGCUCUCUGGGCCCCGAGCCCCAGCUCUGUUCUCCCACUCGGACUUAGCCACUGACGAGCUGUGAGACCUGGGAGCGGGUUACCAAGCCAUUCAGUGGGCUCCCCUCCCAGAGGGCACAAGGGCAGGCUCUGCCACCCAGGACUCGGCAGGAUUAGGGGAAAUAGUGGGUGGGAAAGCACUUCCAACAGGCAGGAGCUGACAAGGGCACAAAGGCAGCUCAGUGUGGACUCGGGGAUCAGACCACGUGGAUUCAAAUCCCAGUUCAGCCAGUCAUGGGCAGGACAAGGCACCGAGCCUCCUCAGCAAAUGAGGCUGAGAGCUCACACCUCACUGGGUCGUUAGGAACAUGAGCCGGCCUGGCCGCGUGCGUGGGGAAGGGCUCCGUGUGGGCGGGCUGCCCUUCCUUCCCUGAAGCUCAGUACUCUGGUGGAGAUAAAGUUGGUCUGUGCUUUUACCUAGAGAAGGACACUGGGGAGAAAGGAGGCCGGCCAGCCCUGUCACCCUGGGCCCGGUGUCUCGGGGACCCAGCUUAGAGCCUCCCUGCCACCACCCCAUUCCACUGCCCUCUGGCUGCCCCUUUCAGGAUGUGGCCUCAGUGCUGUCUGGGCUAGCUUGUCCCCUGCCCCAGAUUCCUGGUCCUCCCGGAAGAAUCAGCCUUGUGCCCUGUGCCCUCCCUGCUCGGCACCCAGCUGGGCACCCUUUGGGGUGGAUCCUCUGGUGGGCCUGAGCGGCCUUGAGUAGAAGCUGCAACUGCUCUGAGUUCCCGUCGUGGCUCAGUGCUUAAAGAAGCUGACUGUGACCCAUGAGGGUACGGGUUCGAUCUCUGGCCUCAGUAGGUUAAGGAUCUGGCAUUGCCGUGAGCUGUGGUAUAGGUCGCAGACACGGCUUGGAUCUGGCGUUGCUGUGGCUGUGGUGUAGGCCAGCGUCUACAGCUCCGAUUCGACCCCUAGCCU
RNAcentral lists this long non-coding RNA (6735 nucleotides) under Sus scrofa (pig). RNAcentral's name for it is "lncRNA (ENSSSCG00000043284.1)". Lineage: Eukaryota; Metazoa; Chordata; Mammalia; Artiodactyla; Suidae. The record is from RNAcentral.